UCCGACUUGUAUAAUUUAUUGCUUAUUAUUAUUUUUAAGAAAUGAGUUUCACGUUCGCCGCCUCGAUAAUGUUAUCGUCGUCGACGAUUGAUAAGGUUAAGUUAUAGUGUCUUUAUUUUGUAAAUACAGUGGACUUCGGAUAUAACAAACCCGUUUAAAGUGAACAUUCGGUUAUAGUAAACGCCCAUUCAAAUACCCAAAAAAACUACCAUAAGAACAAUGUAAUUUUUUCGCCGUUGUUUUGUUUUCAGUGGCAUUUCACUUCACGCGUUACUUACUGUGAGUUAUUUAUAUGAGUGUUUUGCUGUUUUGUGCUGGGUGCUAAGUCUUGGAUAGUCAAAAUGGAGAAGCAAAAGCGUAAAGCUUUAACAUUAAAAGAAAAAUAUGACAUUAUUCAGUGGUGUUAAACAGAGUGAUAUUUGUCGUGAAUUAAAUUUGCCAAAAUCAACCGUUUGCAUAGUUUGGAAAAAGAGGGAAGAGAUUUUAUCAGCAUAUGGUAAAGUUAAUGCAAAGUGUAAAAGACUUAGAAAAUCGGCUCAUGAAGGGGUUGAUAGAGCACUUUUACAGUGGUUUACACAACAAAAAAAGGAAAACGUUCCAUUAAAUGGUCCUAUUCUUCAAGAAAAAGCUAGUGAAAUGGGUAGUAAAAUUGAAGGAAAAACUUUUGAAUGUUCUGGAAGCUGGAUUGAACGUUUUAAGAAGAGACACUGGAGGGAAAAUUAUUGAUACGCCCAUUAGCUUAUGGAGGGCAGAAUACCAGUUCAAAGGUUCCUAUGGAUCAAGGAGUAAUUCGUUCGAGCAACUGAUAAUGGACAAGAUUUUUCAGUGAGUCUUUUAGAUGCUGUAAACUUCAUACAUCUAGCUUGGCAGGAAGUAAGUGCAAAAACCAUUGCAACCUGUUUUAAGCAUGCAGGAUUUUUGAGGUGGAAGAUGAAUCUGAUUCAGACGAUGACUUGCCCCUAAAUGAAUGGUUAAAAAAACAUAGUAAUCAAGAAAAUACUGACAUUCAAAGAUCCGUUGAAGAGGAAAUGAUAAAAAGAAUAAAUGACUUUGACUUGCAAAAAUUCAUUUCUAUUGAUGACCAUGUUAUUUCAACCGAAUCUAUAACAGAGGAGCAGAUUAUCCAGUCAGUUUCAAAAGGUACUAUAAAACUAAAUAAAACUAACCUUUUGUCUUUUAUUUUUUUUAGCAGUAAAUGUAGAAGUCGGAAGUGAAGAUGACGAAAACGAUCAGGAACCUAAUGAGGAUGUUGAAAUAAAUAUUCCAUCAACUAGAGAAAUGACGCAGAAAAUGACGGAAAUACGCACUGUCUUGCAAUCACGUGGAGUUCCAGAAGAAGUCUGGAAUAGUUUUUCUACCCCAGAGGGAUAACAAGUUUUUCAAACAGACUUAUACAAACCAAGAUUUCUCACUACAUAUACUAAGUAGUUACAGACACGUAGAUUAUGACUUAGUAGCUAUGUACAUAUUGUAUAUGUGUUAUAAAAACUGUAUGUGCUGUUUAUCCUUAUAAUAAAAGCCAGUUAUAAU
Long non-coding RNA from Anthonomus grandis grandis, 1530 nucleotides. RefSeq lists it as uncharacterized. The record is from RefSeq and is a predicted model, not a curated record. Lineage: Eukaryota; Metazoa; Arthropoda; Insecta; Coleoptera; Curculionidae. The transcript has 2 exons.